GAUGAACGCUGGCGGUAUGCCUAACACAUGCAAGUCGGACGGACACCUUCGGGUGUCAGUGGCGGACGGGUGAGUAACGCGUAGGAAUCUACCCCUAGGAGGGGGAUAACAGCUGGAAACGGCUGCUAAUACCCCAUACAGGCGCGAGCUGAAAGGAGCAAUCCGCCUAGGGAUGAGCCUGCGUCGGAUUAGCUAGUUGGUGGGGUAAUGGCCUACCAAGGCGACGAUCCGUAGCGGGUCUGAGAGGAUGGCCCGCCACACUGGGACUGAGACACGGCCCAGACUCCUACGGGAGGCAGCAGUGGGGAAUUUUCCGCAAUGGGCGAAAGCCUGACGGAGCAAUACCGCGUGAGGGAGGAAGGCCUUUGGGUUGUAAACCUCUUUUCUGGGGGACGAAGGAGUGACGGUACCCCAGGAAUAAGCCUCGGCUAACUCUGUGCCAGCAGCCGCGGUAAGACAGAGGAGGCGAGCGUUAUCCGGAGUUAUUG
Molecule: ribosomal RNA, 488 nt
Filed under: uncultured cyanobacterium
Lineage: Bacteria; Bacillati; Cyanobacteriota
Description: bacterial SSU rRNA
Rfam family: Bacterial small subunit ribosomal RNA
Source: RNAcentral